GAUGAAGAACGCAGCGAAACGCGAUAAGUAAUGUGAAUUGCAGAAUUUAGUGAAUCAUCGAACUUUUGAACGCACAUUGCGCCCCCUGGUAUUCCGGGGGGCAUGCCUGUUCGAGCGUCAUUUCACCACUCAAGCCUCGCUUGGUAUUGGGCAACGCGGUCCGCCGCGUGCCUCAAAUCGUCCGGCUGGGUCUUCUGUCCCCUAAGCGUUGUGGAAACUAUUCGCUAAAGGGUGUUCGGGAGGCUACGCCGUAAAACAACCCCAUUUCUAAGGUUGACCUCGGAUCAGGUAGGGAUACCCGCUGAACUUAAGCAUAUCAAUAAGCGGAGGA
RNAcentral lists this unclassified non-coding RNA (331 nucleotides) under soil metagenome. RNAcentral describes it as "partial contains 5.8S ribosomal RNA, internal transcribed spacer 2, and large subunit ribosomal RNA". The stretch from base 1 to 120 matches the Rfam family "5.8S ribosomal RNA", at positions 35 to 154 of the family's 154-position model. The record is from RNAcentral.